This 527-nucleotide long non-coding RNA is filed under the name Fukomys damarensis (Damara mole-rat). RNAcentral's name for it is "lncRNA (ENSFDAG00000026777.1)". The record is from RNAcentral. Lineage: Eukaryota; Metazoa; Chordata; Mammalia; Rodentia; Bathyergidae.
GGUAGGGACUGUUUUUCGUCUGUGGUAAAAAAGAAAUACUCUCUUCCCAACAUGAGAUACACAUGAAAAAUAAAGACGGCCACACUUUUUCCUUGAGUCCCUUUCUUUAUACCCUUCUCCAAAGUACUGUGAAUGAAGGCAUAAGCGACUAGUGAAAAUGAAGACACCAGCCACACAGACUUGUUUUACAGACCGGCUGAGGCGGUGGCUGAUUAUAGAUGAAAAGAUGACCAAGAGAAGAAUCCCACUCUUCCUGAAAUUCAACUGGUGAACAGAGAAGACUCAAUCAGUGAAUAGCAGAAGAUAAAUCUUUAGAAAAAACAGGGAAGCACCAAGAGGAAGAACCACACGCCGGAGCUGUCAGAGCCAACCCAGAGACCUCCAUCCUCAAAGAAGCAGUGCUGUUAAGCAGGCACCCUACUUCUACACUUCAAACACCCAAGUGGGAAGUCAGGAAUGUGAAUCGAAUGCCUAUUAGGAUUAACAAUCUGGCUCUUAAUCAUGGGCAGCUACCAUAUAUCUCCGCC